Molecule: ribosomal RNA, 501 nt
Filed under: uncultured bacterium
Lineage: Bacteria
Description: partial 16S ribosomal RNA
Rfam family: Bacterial small subunit ribosomal RNA
Source: RNAcentral
AUUGAACGCUGGCGGCAGGCUUAACACAUGCAAGUCGAGCGGGGGAAGGUAGCUUGCUACCGGACCUAGCGGCGGACGGGUGAGUAAUGCUUAGGAAUCUGCCUAUUAGUGGGGGACAACAUCUCGAAAGGGAUGCUAAUACCGCAUACGUCCUACGGGAGAAAGCAGGGGAUCUUCGGACCUUGCGCUAAUAGAUGAGCCUAAGUCGGAUUAGCUAGUUGGUGGGGUAAAGGCCUACCAAGGCGACGAUCUGUAGCGGGUCUGAGAGGAUGGUCCGCCACACUGGGACUGGAAUACGGGCCAGACUCCUACGGGAGGGAGCAGUGGGGAAUAUGGGACAAUGGGGGGAACCCUGAUCCGGCCAUGCCGCGUGUGUGAAGAAGGCCUUAUGGUUGUAAAGCACUUUAAGCGAGGAGGAGGCUACUUUAGUUAAUACCUAGAGAUAGUGGACGUUACUCGCAGAAUAAGCACCGGCUAACUCUGUGCCAGCCGCCGCUGUAA